Gambusia affinis (western mosquitofish) is the source of this 639-nucleotide long non-coding RNA. RefSeq lists it as uncharacterized. The record is from RefSeq and is a predicted model, not a curated record. Lineage: Eukaryota; Metazoa; Chordata; Actinopteri; Cyprinodontiformes; Poeciliidae. The transcript is spliced from 4 exons.
CAAACCGGAUGGGAGGAUUCGUGUCGUUCAUUAGCCGUGAACGAGUCUCAGUUGCAGGUCAAGCUGCAGCGCAAAGACUUGUCAGUCAUCCUGAUGAGCUGUCUGCCUUGAAACAGCCUGUGGCCUGAGGCGGCGGCAGCUGGAGAGCCACCACCACCGAUCAGAGGGGGAAAGAGGACUCAGUAAUCUGCUGUCUGUGAAAAGGCAACAUUUGAGCGGGUUCUUCACUCAUGUAAACAUCUUUACAUCAUCAGAAAGAGGCAGUUCAGAGCCUCCGACGCGCUGCAGCUCAGAAAAAGUCAUCCAACCCUGAUGUGGAUGGGAAAGAAAGGAAAAAGAAAGUAAUCGACCUCAUCAAAAUCCCAACAUGAGCUCUGCAGAAAGAGAGAAAAAUGCCUCGAAUAAACACCGCCAUCUUGAUUGAACCCCCACAACUCAGAUCUCACAUCUUCCUUUCGUUUCAGCAGAUAUUUUAAAUCUUUAUCACCGCCUCAUGAGGGUUUCUCGCAGCUUGUUAUCCCCACGUCUGCGCGACACAUCAGUCCCCGGUUUAAGACUUGUGUCAGAGGCGCAGAGAAUGAGCUGCCCUCGGAAAUCUGGAACUGUGAGGAAAGUUUGGAAAGCAGAAGACGAAAAAGA